RNAcentral lists this long non-coding RNA (1062 nucleotides) under Sinocyclocheilus anshuiensis. RNAcentral's name for it is "lncRNA (ENSSANG00000037155.1)". Lineage: Eukaryota; Metazoa; Chordata; Actinopteri; Cypriniformes; Cyprinidae. The record is from RNAcentral.
AUGACAGCUGAGUGGGUUGACAUGGCCACCCCAGACAAUCUGCUGUUCCUGGACACAGAUGCUGUCAACUCUUCCUUCGCUUCACCGCCCAUAGAGGAAAAUGAGCCCACUCGUGCCACGGACAACCAGACAGAUGACAGCUUUAGUUCAGUCCCUGAUCAACACCCUGAUCCAGACUCAGGAAGCUCAGGAUUAAUGCCAGUUCCGUGCCAGGAUGGGACCAUUGAGAUCCAUAAUACAAACAUUGAAAGGGAAAAUGAGAGUGGUUUAGUCUUAAGACAGCCCCUGGAUCACACUGCAGUGAUAGAAAUGAAUAAAAGUGAUAACUGUGACUUCAGUACUGCUGCUAUAAUGGAGACUGACAGUAUCACAAACAGUACUAACAUCCCUAACCUAAUUCACCUAUUGGACAGAAAUCGAAAUGACAAACAUGGUAACUCAAACACUAAAGCGGAUCCAAAUGAGGCUCAUGGCACUUUAAUGAGUCCAUUAUUAACAGAACACAACAGACAAGAAGAAAUGAGCCAAGACACCAUUUUAAACCAAUAUGCCUCUUUUGAGAGCAUUGGACUUGAUGUUAACCCAAUGGCUAAUGAUGAUGGUCCCUUGGUAAAUACUGUCUCUAAUGUAAUGAAUGGUGCAAGCAAUGAGACUGAUGCAACUUCUUCUGAAACCCUCAUCCAGACUUGCCAGGAUACAUCUGAAGGUGUUGAUGUAGCAGUGGAAGCGGCGACUGCCUAUAAAACUCAUCCAGAAAUUCAUGACAUUGCAGAGAACUUGACAUGUGGACCACUGGCAACUGAGAAAACAGAUAAUUCUGAGUCACUUUUCCACCAAUCCAUGCUUAAAACCUCACAAAUUGGUGAAAAACAUGAGAAGGAUCUCUCACAAGUGAUCCCUUGCCCAACAUCUGUCACGAAUAGAGAUUUAGGUAAAUGUUCUGAGGAGAUUGAUGGUGCUUGCUUAAAGUUCACAAGAAUGGAACAUGAUGUUGAGGCUGGUAGCGAGUUGUGGCUGUUUCUUCUAGAGUCAUAUUUGACAAACUCAUUACAAAAGUAUGGC